RNAcentral lists this small RNA (18 nucleotides) under Arabidopsis thaliana (thale cress). RNAcentral's name for it is "Ath_wt_18377". The record is from RNAcentral. Lineage: Eukaryota; Viridiplantae; Streptophyta; Magnoliopsida; Brassicales; Brassicaceae.
CGUGAUCGUGGUCUGCAG